UGGGGAAUUUUGGACAAUGGGGGAAACCCUGAUCCAGCCAUCCCGCGUGUGCGAUGAAGGCCUUCGGGUUGUAAAGCACUUUUGGCAGGAAAGAAACGUCAUGGGUUAAUACCCCGUGAAACUGACGGUACCUGCAGAAUAAGCACCGGCUAACUACGUGCCAGCAGCCGCGGUAAUACGUAGGGUGCAAGCGUUAAUCGGAAUUACUGGGCGUAAAGCGUGCGCAGGCGGUUCGGAAAGAAAGAUGUGAAAUCCCAGAGCCCAACUUUGGAACUGCAUUUUUAACUACCGGGCUAGAGUGUGUCAGAGGGAGGUGGAAUUCCGCGUGUAGCAGUGAAAUGCGUAGAUAUGCGGAGGAACACCGAUGGCGAAGGCAGCCUCCUGGGAUAACACUGACGCUCAUGCACGAAAGCGUGGGGAGCAAACAGG
This 429-nucleotide ribosomal RNA is filed under the name Acidobacteriota bacterium. Its description in RNAcentral is "Acidobacteria bacterium partial 16S ribosomal RNA". It matches the Rfam family "Bacterial small subunit ribosomal RNA", at positions 355 to 776 of the family's 1533-position model. Lineage: Bacteria; Pseudomonadati; Acidobacteriota. The record is from RNAcentral.